AGCAGAUUCAAUGUGUUGACUCCAUGUGCCUGCUCUCCCCAUGGUGGUCCCCUCGGAGAAACAGCUGGGUAUGGGCCUCAGAGAGCUGUGUGCAGAUUCCUGCCCUGCCUCUUGGAGCAAAUUGCUCACCUGCUCUGAGCUCUAGGUCCCUCCCCAGUGCAAUGAGCAUGGCUGAAAAGGCUCAGAGCCUGGGGGCGAUGGGUGUGGCUGAUUAUAAGGAGACCAGGUCAUUCCAAACAG
Long non-coding RNA from Callithrix jacchus (white-tufted-ear marmoset), 240 nucleotides. RefSeq lists it as uncharacterized. The record is from RefSeq and is a predicted model, not a curated record. NCBI's taxonomy places the organism in Eukaryota, Metazoa, Chordata, Mammalia, Primates, Cebidae.